GUCCGUAAAGGUGGAUGAGUGGUGUUUGGUUUGUUACGUGUGGUUGGCUGCGGCGUUUGCAACAACUUCCAUGCUCUCAGACCUCUUCAGUUGUGCGGCAAGGCUUGUAUCGCCUUGAGCGUACUGUGGGUUUUCUGUGUUGGCUACCUAAUCAAUGGUAUCGGUUGGAUUGAUCAAAGUUUGAUUUCGUCUUCCGUCGCAUUCGCGGCGCGAGGCGAACCUCGAUGCGGUCUCUUUGAUCCACCUCGUUGAAGCACGUGCUUUGACGUUGUGGCACAUUGAGCAUUGCUUGGUCUCUUGUAUACGGAACAUAUAGUGGGCAUGGAUCUAACGAUCCUUGUUUGCCCUCAUAUUAGCGUAACGCUUCUCUAACACGACUUGCGCCAUGUUUUAGCUCGUACGGACGUGGC
RNAcentral lists this unclassified non-coding RNA (410 nucleotides) under Artemisia nitida. RNAcentral's name for it is "partial external transcribed spacer". The record is from RNAcentral. Lineage: Eukaryota; Viridiplantae; Streptophyta; Magnoliopsida; Asterales; Asteraceae.